Molecule: ribosomal RNA, 469 nt
Filed under: uncultured bacterium
Lineage: Bacteria
Description: partial 16S ribosomal RNA
Rfam family: Bacterial small subunit ribosomal RNA
Source: RNAcentral
GAUGAACGCUGGCGGCGUGCUUAACACAUGCAAGUCGAACGAUGAAGCUGGAGCUUGCUCUGGUGGAUUAGUGGCGAACGGGUGAGUAACACGUGAGCAACCUGCCCCUGACUCUGGGAUAACAGCCGGAAACGGCUGCUAAUACCGGAUAUGCACCACGAACGCAUGUUCUGUGGUGGGAAAGAUUUUUCGGUUGGGGAUGGGCUCGCGGCCUAUCAGCUUGUUGGUGAGGUAAUGGCUCACCAAGGCGUCGACGGGUAGCCGGCCUGAGAGGGUGACCGGCCACACUGGGACUGAGACACGGCCCAGACUCCUACGGGAGGCAGCAGUGGGGAAUAUUGCACAAUGGGCGAAAGCCUGAUGCAGCAACGCCGCGUGAGGGAUGACGGCCUUCGGGUUGUAAACCUCUUUUAGCAGGGAAGAAGCGAGAGUGACGGUACCUGCAGAAAAAGCGCCGGCUAACUACGUG